Molecule: transfer RNA, 72 nt
Filed under: Schistosoma japonicum
Lineage: Eukaryota; Metazoa; Platyhelminthes; Trematoda; Strigeidida; Schistosomatidae
Description: tRNA-OTHER
Source: RNAcentral
GGCUCAGUGGUCCGAUGGUAAAGCGCUCGUCACGGAACCAGAGGGUCCUGGGUUCGAUCCCUAACAGGGUCG